RNAcentral lists this ribosomal RNA (508 nucleotides) under uncultured bacterium. RNAcentral describes it as "partial 16S ribosomal RNA". It matches the Rfam family "Bacterial small subunit ribosomal RNA", at positions 28 to 507 of the family's 1533-position model. The record is from RNAcentral.
GACGAACGCUGGCGGCGUGCCUAAUACAUGCAAGUCGAACGCUUCUUUCCUCCCGAGUGCUUGCACUCAAUUGGAAAGAGGAGUGGCGGACGGGUGAGUAACACGUGGGUAACCUACCCAUCAGAGGGGGAUAACACUUGGAAACAGGUGCUAAUACCGCAUAACAGUUUAUGCCGCAUGGCAUAAGAGUGAAAGGCGCUUUCGGGUGUCGCUGAUGGAUGGACCCGCGGUGCAUUAGCUAGUUGGUGAGGUAACGGCUCACCAAGGCCACGAUGCAUAGCCGACCUGAGAGGGUGAUCGGCCACACUGGGACUGAGACACGGCCCAGACUCCUACGGGAGGCAGCAGUAGGGAAUCUUCGGCAAUGGACGAAAGUCUGACCGAGCAACGCCGCGUGAGUGAAGAAGGUGUUCGGAUCGUAAAACUCUGCUGUUAGAGAAGAACAAGGACGUUAGUAACUGAACGUCCCCUGACGGUAUCUAACCAGAAAGCCACGGCUAACUACGUG